This 487-nucleotide ribosomal RNA is filed under the name uncultured bacterium. Its description in RNAcentral is "bacterial SSU rRNA". It matches the Rfam family "Bacterial small subunit ribosomal RNA", at positions 37 to 507 of the family's 1533-position model. The record is from RNAcentral.
GACGACGCGUGGCGGCGUGGAUUAGGCAUGCAAGUCGAACGGUAUCAUCCUUUCGGGGGUGAGAGAGUGGCGAACUGGUGAGUAACACGUAGGUUAUCUACCCUCAAGACGGGGACAACCCAGGGAAACUUGGGCUAAUACCGGAUGUGAGCAACUUUUAGUUGUUUGAAAGGUGGCGUAAGCUGUCGCUUGGGGAUGAGCCUGCGUCCUAUUAGUUAGUUGGUGAGGUAACGGCUCACCUAGGCAAUGAUAGGUAGGCGGCCUUAACGGGUGGUCGCCCACACUGGGAUUGAGAUACGGCCCAGACUCCUACGGGAGGCAGCAGUCGAGAAUAGUCUACAAUGGUCGGAAGACUGAUAGUGCGACGCCGCGUGAACGAUGAAUCCCUUCGGGGUGUAAAGUUCUUUUAUAUGUGAGCAGUGCUUCUUAUAUUAACAGUAUGGGGAGAGAGAUAUUAGCAUAUGAAUAAGCAACGGCUAACUCCGUG